GAAUUUUGGACAAUGGGCGCAAGCCUGAUCCAGCAAUGCCGCGUGAGUGAAGAAGGCCCUCGGGUUGUAAACUGCUUUUGUACGGAACGAAAAGCCUCUUUCUAAUAAAGAGGGGUGAUGACGGUACCGUAAGAAUAAGCACCGGCUAACUACGUUCCAGCAGCCGCGGUAAUACGUAGGGUGCGAGCGUUAAUCGGAAUUACUGGGCGUAAAGCGUGCGCAGGCGGUCUUGCAAGACAGUGGUGAAAUCCCCGGGCUCAACCUGGGAACUGCCAUUGUGACUGCAAGGCUGGAGUACGGCAGAGGGGGAUGGAAUUCCGCGUGUAGCAGUGAAAUGCGUAGAUAUGCGGAGGAACACCGAUGGCGAAGGCAGUCCCCUGGGCCUGUACUGACGCUCAUGCACGAAAGCGUGGGGAGCAAA
RNAcentral lists this ribosomal RNA (421 nucleotides) under uncultured bacterium. Its description in RNAcentral is "bacterial SSU rRNA". It matches the Rfam family "Bacterial small subunit ribosomal RNA", at positions 359 to 772 of the family's 1533-position model. The record is from RNAcentral.